Molecule: ribosomal RNA, 866 nt
Filed under: uncultured bacterium
Lineage: Bacteria
Description: bacterial SSU rRNA
Rfam family: Bacterial small subunit ribosomal RNA
Source: RNAcentral
AGUGAACGCUGGCGGCGUGCUUAACACAUGCAAGUCGAGUGCGCGGCUGUAGCAAUACAGCUGGCGCACGGCGCACGGGUGAGUAACACGUGGACAACCUGCCCUUCAAUGGGGGAUAACCCCGCGAAAGCGGGGCUAAUACCGCAUGACAUUCCCGGGACCUCUGUUCUGGGACUCAAAGGCCGUAAGGUCGUUGAAGGAGGGGUCCGCGCCCGAUUAGCUAGUUGGUGAGGUAACGGCUCACCAAGGCAUUGAUCGGUAGCCGGUCUGAGAGGAUGGCCGGCCACACUGGAACUGAGACACGGUCCAGACUCCUACGGGAGGCAGCAGUGGGGAAUCUUGCGCAAUGGGCGAAAGCCUGACGCAGCGACGCCGCGUGGGGGAUGAAGCUUCUCGGAGUGUAAACCCCUUUCGACCCGGACGAAACGCCCGCAAGGGCUUGACGGUACGGGUAUAAGAAGCCCCGGCUAACUACGUGCCAGCAGCCGCGGUAAGACGUAGGGGGCCAGCGUUGCUCGGAAUUACUGGGCGUAAAGGGUUCGUAGGCGGUGCGGCAAGUCGGGAGUGAAAUCUCUGGGCUUAACCCAGAGGCUGCUUCCGAAACUGCUGUGCUAGAGUGCGGGAGAGGCGAGUGGAAUUGCAGGUGUAGCGGUGAAAUGCGUAGAUAUCUGCAGGAGCACCCGUGGCGAAGGCGGCUCGCUGGACCGCAACUGACGCUGAGGAACGAAAGCUAGGGGAGCAAACAGGAUUAGAUACCCUGGUAGUCCUAGCCCUAAACCAUCAGGACUUGGGGUGCAUCCCGUUCGGGGUGCGUCCCGUAGCUAACGCGUUAAGUCCUGCGCCUGGGGAGUACGGUCGCAAGGCUG